CCGAAUUCCAUUUUUGUUGCCGUCGAUUAAUCUGAAUUCUUAUCAGUUACAAUUCUCCGACGACCUUCCCGGAGGAUAACUUUUGUACAGAAUUCGCCAAUUUCAUUGGCAAAGUAACUUCUUUCCUUUUAUUAAAUCAAUGCCUCGGUAUUUCUGUGACUAUUGUGACACUUACUUGACACAUGAUUCGCCUUCUGUCAGAAAACAGCAUAAUGCCGGUUACAAACACAAGGCUAAUGUACGGUCUUAUUAUCUGAAGCUUGAGGAGGAGCAAACACAGAUUCUGAUAGAUCAGAAAAUCAAGGAGCGCCUUGGGCAGGCAGUAGCCUACCAGCAAAUAGGUGCAGCUUAUAAUCAACAUCUUGCUGCCUUCCCUGGUCAAAGACCCCGCCUACCUAUGAUGCCACCUCCUAUGCUGCCUGUUCCAGGAGUGAUGCCCCCACAAUUAAUGGCAGGUGCCAGACCUCCCAUUUUGCCUGUUCCAGUUCUUGGUGCUCCAGGUUAUUCAGCAGUUCCUCCAACUGCACCAACUGCAGGGCAGAUGCCACCUGUUGCAUCCUUGCCGAUGCAACUCAAUGCUUUUCCAGCUCCUCCUGCACUGAAUCCCCUUGUAGGUGUUCCAGGUGGAGCCCCUCCACCUAGUGUAGGCAGCGCCCCUUUUCCUGCUACACAAUCAAUGUACCAGCCAAAUCCCAAUGGAAUUGCUGCCUCUUCUGCUAAUGAGACAACAACCAGCUAAGUUUGUACUCAAGCCAGUGAUAUUUUGACCAUCUUCUGUGUUCUCAGUAGGAUAUUAUGGCUUCUUAAGGCGUACCGGUACUGAACAUCAUCAAGUUCUCCUGAUAAUUGUAGAGAAGAGAGAACUUUUGCUUCUAGGAAGAAUAUCAUGUCCUUGAUCUGAUUUAAUGAGUAUUUGCUGGUUCUCAUGUAUUGUACCUUAAAUCUCAAAAAAGGAAACUCGGACUUGUUAGUGCUGAACUACUCUGCCAA
Molecule: unclassified non-coding RNA, 990 nt
Filed under: Hevea brasiliensis (rubber tree)
Lineage: Eukaryota; Viridiplantae; Streptophyta; Magnoliopsida; Malpighiales; Euphorbiaceae
Source: RNAcentral